AUUGUUGCACAGCUCAGAUUGAACGCUGGCGGGAUGCUUUACACAUGCAAGUCGAACAGCCUUUGAACUUCAGUCUGGUGGCGAGUGGCGAACGGGUGAUGUAUCGGAACGUGCUAGUAGCGGGGGAUAACUACGCGAAAGCGUAGCUAAUACCGCAUACGCCCUUCGGGGAAAGCAGAAAACGGGGACCUUCGGGCCUCGCACUAUUAGAGCGGCCGAUAUCGGAUGGCUAGUUGGUGGGGUAACGGCUCACCAGAGCGACGAUCCGUAGCUGGUUUGAGAGGACGACCAGCCACACUGGGACUGAGACACGGCCUAGACUCCUACGGGAGGCAGCAGUGGGGAAUUUUGGACAAUGGGGAAACCCUGAUCCAGCCAUCCCGCGUGUGCGAUGAAGGCCUUCGGGUUGUAAAGCACUUUUGGCAGGAAAGAAACGGCACGGGAUAAUACCCCGUGCAACUGACAGUACCUGCAGAAUAAGCACCGGCUAACUACGUGCCAGCAGCCGCGGUAAUACGUAGGGUGCAAGCGUUAAUCGGAAUUACUGGGCGUAAAGCGUGCGCAGGCGGUUCGGAAAAGAUUAAGCGAAAUCAGGCUUAACUUUGGAACUGCAUUUUUUUAACUACCGAGCUAGAGUGUCAGAGGAGGUGGAAUUCCGCGUGUAGCAGUGAAAUGCGUAGAUAUGGAGGAACACCGAUGGCGAAGGCAGCCUCCUGGGAUAACACUGACGCUCAUGCACGAAAGCGUGGGGAGCAAACAGGAUUAGAUACCCUGGUAGUCCACGCCCUAAACGAUGUCAACUAGCUGUUGGGGCCUUCGGGCCUUGGUAGCGCAGCUAACGCGUGAAGUUGACCGCCUGGGAGUACGGUCGCAAGACAAGAAACUCAAAGGAAUUGACGGGGACCCGCACAAGCGGUGGAUGAUGUGGAUUAAUUCGAUGCACUUGCAGAAAACCAACACUACCCUUGACUGUCUGGAAUCCCGAAGAGAUUUGGGAGUGCUCGCAAAGAGAACCGGAACACAGGUGCUGCAUGGCUGUCGUCAGCUCGUGUCGUGAGAUGUUGGGUUAAGUCACAACGAGAGCGCAACCCUUGUCAUUAGUUGCUGAAGGGCACUCUAAUGAGACUGCCGGUGACAAACCGGAGGAAGGUGGGGAUGACGUCAAGUCCUCAUGGCCCUUAUGGGUAGGGCUUCACACGUCAUACAAUGGUCGGGACAGAGGGUCGCCAACCCGCGAGGAGCCAAUCCCAGAAGCCGAUCGUAGUCCGGAUCGCAGUCUGCAACUCGACUGCGUGAAGUCAGAAUCAUGGUAAUCGCGGAUCAGCAUGUCGCGGUGAGCCGUUCCCGGGUGCCAGCACACACCGCCCGUCACACCAUGGGAGUGGGUUUUACCAAGUAGUUAGCCUAACCGUAAGGAAGGCGAUUACCACGGUAGGAUUCAUGACUGGGGUGAAGUCGUAACAAGGUAA
This 1469-nucleotide ribosomal RNA is filed under the name uncultured Bordetella sp. RNAcentral describes it as "partial 16S-23S ribosomal RNA intergenic spacer". It matches the Rfam family "Bacterial small subunit ribosomal RNA". Lineage: Bacteria; Pseudomonadati; Pseudomonadota; Betaproteobacteria; Burkholderiales; Alcaligenaceae. The record is from RNAcentral.